This 372-nucleotide unclassified non-coding RNA is filed under the name uncultured fungus. RNAcentral's name for it is "partial contains 5.8S ribosomal RNA and internal transcribed spacer 2". The stretch from base 1 to 133 matches the Rfam family "5.8S ribosomal RNA", at positions 22 to 154 of the family's 154-position model. The record is from RNAcentral. Lineage: Eukaryota; Fungi.
UGGCUCUCGCAUCGAUGAAGAACGCAGCGAAAUGCGAUAAGUAAUGUGAAUUGCAGAAUUCAGUGAAUCAUCGAAUCUUUGAACGCACCUUGCACCCUUUGGUAUUCCGAAGGGUAUGCCCGUUUGAGUGUCAUUGUAAUCUCACCCUGCAGAGCCUUGCUGUGUGGAGGUGGACUUGGAGGUCGUGGCUGCAUUUGCUCCACCCCUCUGGAAUGCAUCAGUAAAGUCGUUUCACGAUGUUGUCGGUGUGAUGAGUGUCUUCACCGCAGCCGCAAGGCGCGUCGUGCUUCCGAACCUUUGCUCACAACCGUCCCGUCCAUUGGGACACAAACUUGACAUCUUGACCUCAAAUCGGGUAGGACUACCCGCUGA